UACGUAGGGGGCAAGCGUUGUCCGGAAUCAUUGGGCGUAAAGCGCGCGUAGGCGGCCAGAUAAGUCCGGUGUGAAAGUCAAAGGCUCAACCUUUGAAUGCCGCUGGAAACUGUCUGGCUAGAGUCCGGAAGGGGCGAGUGGAACUCCUGGUGUAGCGGUGAAAUGCGCAGAUAUCAGGAAGAACACCAAUGGCGAAGGCAGCUCGCUAGGACGGUACUGACGCUGAGGCGCGAAAGCGUGGGGAGCAAACAGG
RNAcentral lists this ribosomal RNA (253 nucleotides) under uncultured bacterium. Its description in RNAcentral is "partial 16S ribosomal RNA". It matches the Rfam family "Bacterial small subunit ribosomal RNA", at positions 524 to 776 of the family's 1533-position model. The record is from RNAcentral.